This 441-nucleotide ribosomal RNA is filed under the name uncultured bacterium. RNAcentral's name for it is "bacterial SSU rRNA". It matches the Rfam family "Bacterial small subunit ribosomal RNA", at positions 28 to 507 of the family's 1533-position model. The record is from RNAcentral.
GAUGAACGCUGGCGGUAUGCCUAACACAUGCAAGUCGUACGAGAGUUUUUAACUCUAGUGGCGGACGGGUGAGUAACACGUGAGAAUUUGCCUUUAGGAGGGGGACAACAAUUGGAAACGAAUGCUAAUACCCCAUAUGCUUUCGAGUGAAAUGGAUUUUAUCCGCCUAGAGAGAAGCUCGCGGCUGAUUAGCUUGUUGGUAAGGUAAGAGCUUACCAAGGCGACGAUCAGUAUCUGGUUUGAGAGGACGAUCAGACACACUGGAACUGAGACACGGUCCAGACUCCUACGGGAGGCAGCAGUGGGGAAUUUUCCGCAAUGGGCGAAAGCCUGACGGAGCAAUACCGCGUGAGGGAAGAAUGCCUAUGGGUUGUAAACCUCUUUUUCAGGGUAGGAAUAAAAUGACGUGUACCUGAAGAAUAAGCAUCGGCUAACUCCGUG